Molecule: non-coding RNA, 380 nt
Organism: Pelobates cultripes (western spadefoot toad)
Lineage: Eukaryota; Metazoa; Chordata; Amphibia; Anura; Pelobatidae
Source: the annotation of a GenBank genome assembly
GUGUGUGUGUGUGUGUGUGUAUGGACUCAGCAGUCUGUGUGUGUGUAUGGACUCAGCAGUCUGUGUGUGUGUGUGUAUGGACUCAGCAGUCUGUGUGUGUGUAUGGACUCAGCAGUCUGUGUGUGUGUAUGGACUCAGCAGUCUGUGUGUGUGUAUGGACUCCGCAGUCUAUCAAUAAUUAAAAUUCCUGUGAGUUGUUGUGUAGGAAGGGCCCCAGUGUAUUGCUUUGCCCAAGGGCCUUAACUCUGUUAAAAUGGUACUGCUUGUGUGUGUCAGUGAGCUCCUAUUUAGUGAGCAUGUGUGUGUCAGUGAGCUUGUCUUUAGUGAGCUUGUGUGUGUGUCCCUGAACUUCUUUGUAGUGAGCCUUCUGUUUAUACAAG